Molecule: ribosomal RNA, 253 nt
Filed under: uncultured bacterium
Lineage: Bacteria
Description: partial 16S ribosomal RNA
Rfam family: Bacterial small subunit ribosomal RNA
Source: RNAcentral
UCCAGAGGGUGCAAGCGUUAAUCGGAAUUACUGGGCGUAAAGCGCGCGUAGGUGGUUUGUUAAGUUGGAUGUGAAAGCCCCGGGCUCAACCUGGGAACUGCAUCCAAAACUGGCAAGCUAGAGUACGGUAGAGGGUGGUGGAAUUUCCUGUGUAGCGGUGAAAUGCGUAGAUAUAGGAAGGAACACCAGUGGCGAAGGCGACCACCUGGACUGAUACUGACACUGAGGUGCGAAAGCGUGGGGAGCAAACAGG